GGUGGAGAGGUCGAGAGAGAUUUCAAAGAGAUUGAGGGAGAGUUGAGAUGUGAGAGAAAUGAAAGGAAAAUUGAGAUUUGAGGGAAUAUUAAGAGAUAUUUAAGGGUUUUGUUUUGAAAAAAAUAAGCGUAAAACUGAUUUGGAAAAAAGAAACAAUUGCCGCAUAAUUUUUUCGUUUUGAAGGGUAAAGUUUGGUGCCCGAUGCUUUUCUAACGGUGAAACUUUUACCCUCCCAAAUCCGUCGAAAAUAUAAAAUAUUUUUCUUAUACAUGUAUAAAGUCAUCAUCUCAUUUCCAAAUGAGUGAACUCAGCGUUACAAACACGCUCUUGAGAUACUUAUAACAUCGAUUAUUUCCUUUUCGUGACUAGUUUCCAUGUCCUUGGAGUGAGAUUUAUGUGAAUCUGCAUUGAGAAUUAGAUUUGAUAUAAUCUUGCUUGGUUUGACUUGAGUACUAGCUCACAAAACUUCAACUUAAGGCAAAUUUUCUAAGUUUAUGAUAGUUAUGUGUGUGUAUUGAUGCACAAAAAUGCAUUGAUGUGCAUUCUUCUAGGAGCUUAUUCAAGUCUGACUUAUAACAUGUUACAGAGUGGAUGGUUCAGAUAAAGAAUCAAAGAUCUCAGAUGAUGAUUAUGGCGGGACGUUACUGCUUGUGACGAGUUCUCCACUUAGAUUUGAUCGAUAACUCUAACCACACAAUAAUAGUGCUGAAUUGAGAUAGAAAUUUAAUGAAGCUUUUGAUCAAUAAUGGUGACGACGAGAGGCUCCAUCUAAGUCAACGAAGAAGACAAUUUAUAUUAGAGUUCAUGAACUCAACGUGGGUUUAGUAGUUUCAACCUAUAAAGGAAAAAUAAAAACAGAUCAAAGAUAAUCAAAUAAAAACAAAAAAUCGUUGGAGAGAGAUUUGUUUACCCCUUCACGUGGAUGCUAUUAUUAAAAGACGGCUACGUCUAUGAAUUUGAUGAGCUAACAACUGAAGGCGACGAACAGAUCACGACUAUGACUUUUUUGAUGAGCUAAGAACGGAAGAAGGCGACUAUAGCUUGUUCAAUAUAUAAUUUUCAGAAGAUGUGGGGAUGCUAAAUUCUAUUUUUAUUUUUAUUAUUAUCCACAAAUUUUAUUUGAGUAAAUCCUAUUAAACUUAUUUUCCUAAAUUUAAGCAAUACUCGUUUGAUUGUUAUUUUAUUUAAUUUAAUAAAAGCUUAAGUUGUUGUAAUUUUUUUUUUCUUUGAAUAUCUAUUUAACUUGAAUUUUACUUAACUAUUUUGUUCUCUCACUUCCACUCUCUCAAUUAUUUUGCAAUUCUUCUUACUUCUCUCUACAAUUUCUGAAAACAUGUAAGAUUUUUUUUUAUAUGUUUAUGUUAGAUUUUGGGGUAUGGAAUGUAUCUCUUAGCUUAGGUGGUUCUGACGAGGUGUGUCCUGUUGUAUUUUGAACAUGAAAAUUUUGUACAUGUUACGUUGGUUAUUUAUAGAUGUGCGAAAACAUAUUGCGAGGGAUUUGCGAGGAACUUGCGAGGAACAGCGCUAUUUUGCUACGAAUUUGCGAGAGAAGUUCAACUACCAACCAAGCAGGAAGAUUAUUUAAAACGUGUUGACCUAACCUGCCAAGGACUCGCAACUCCGACGCAAAAUUUGCUACAGAAAGUUUGUACGCCGCAAGUUUACCGCAGUUUGCGAGACUCUUAUCGUACAGCAAAUCCCUCGCAAUUUGCGAUGACUUUGGGAUGAAAUCUUCAGUCGUUGCAAUUUUCUUGCAAUUGCCAGGCAAUAUUGCGUGGAAAUUUUCCCUCGCAAAUUUUGCGACUGAUUAACGACGUAUUGAUUUUCCCGCGUAAAGUGCUCGCAAGUCUAUAGCAAUUUGCGAGGGAUUUACGCCAUCUCAAAUUUCCCUCGCAAAUCGCCUGUUUUCUUGUAGAUUGAGAGAGAUUUCAAAGAGAUAGAAGGAGACGGUAGAGUGGUUGAGAGAGAUUUCAAAGAGAUUGAGGGAGAGUUGAGGUGUGAGAGAAAUGAAAGGAAAAUUGAGAUUUGAGGGAAUAUUAAUAGAUAUUUAAGGGUUUUGUUUUGAAAAAAAUAAGCGUAAAACUGAUUUGGAAAAAAAAAACAAUUGCCGCAUAAUUUUUUCGUUUUGGAGGGUAAAGUUUGGUGCCCGAUGCUUUUCCAACGGUGAAACUUUUACCCUCCCAAAUCCGUCGGAAAUAUAAAAUAUUUUUCUUAUACAUGUAUAAAGUCCUCAUCUCAUUUCCAAAUGAGUGAACUCGGCGUUACAAACACGCUCUUGAGAUACUUAUAACAUCGAUCAUUUCCUUUUCGUGACUAGUUUCCAUGUUCUUGGAGUGAAAUUUCUGUGAAUCUGCAUUGAGAAUUAGAUUUGAUAUAAUCUUGCUUGGUUUGACUUGAGUACUAGCUCACAAAACUUCAACUUAAGGCAAAUUUUCUGAGUUUAUGAUAGUUAUGUGUGUGUAUUGAUGCACAAAAAUGCAUUGAUGUGCAUUCUUCUAGGAGCUUAUUCAAGUCUGACUUAUAACAUGUUACAGAGUGGAUGGUUCAGAUAAAGAAUCAAAGAUCUCAGAUGAUGAUUAUGGCGGGACGUUUCUGCUUGUGACGAGUUCUCCACUUAGAUUUGAUCGAUAACUCUAACCACACAAUAAUAGUGCUGAAUUGAGAUAGAAAUUUAAUGAAGCUUUUAAUCAAUAAUGGUGACGACGAGAGGCUCCAUCUAAGUCGACGAAGAAGACAAUAUAUAUUAGAGUUCAUGAACUCAACUUGGGUUUAGUAGUUUCAACCUAUAUAGGAAAAAUAAAAACAGAUCAAAGAUAAUCAAAUAAAAACCAAAAAUCGUUGGAGAGAGAUUUGUUUACCCCUUCACGUGGAUGCUAUUAUUAAAAGACGGCUACGUCUAUGAAUUUGAUGAGCUAACAAUUGAAGGCGACGAACAGAUCACGACUAUGACUUUUUUGAUGAGCUAAGAACGGAAGAAGGCGACUAUAGCUUGUUCAAUAUAUAAUUUUGAGAAGAUGUGGGGAUGCUAAAUUCUAUUUUUAUUUUUAUUAUUAUCCACAAAUUUUAUUUGAGUAAAUCCUAUUAAACUUAUUUUCCUAAAUUUAAGCAAUACUCGUUUGAUUGUUAUUUUAUUUAAUUUAAUAAAAGCUUAAGUUGUUGUAAUUUUUUUUUUCUUUGAAUAUCUAUUUAACUUGAAUUUUACUUAACUAUUUUGUUUUCUAACUUCCACUCUCUCAAUUAUUUUGCAAUGCUUCUUACUUCUCUCUACAAUUUCUGAAAACAUGUAAGAUUUUUUUUUAUAUGUUUAUGUUAGAUUUUGGGGUAUGGAAUGUAUCUCUUAGCUUAGGUGGUUCUGACGAGGUGUAUCCUGUUGUAUUUUGAACAUUAAAAUUUUGUACAUGUUACGUUGGUUAUUUAUAGAUGUGCGAAAACAUAUUGCGAGGGAUUUGCGAGGAACUUGCGAGGAACAUCGCUAUUUUGCUACGAAUUUGCGAGAGAAGUUCAACUACCAACCAAGCAGGAAGAUUAUUUAAAACGUGCUGACCUAACCUGCCAAGGACUUGCAACUCCGACGCAAAAUUUGCUACAGAAAGUUUGUACGCCGCAAGUUUACCGCAGUUUGCGAGACACUUAUCGUACAGCAAAUCCCUCGCAAUUUGCGAUGACUUUGCGAUGAAUUCUUCCGUCGUUGCAAUUUUCUCGCAGAUGCCACGCAAUAUUGCGUGGGAAUUUUCCCUCGCAAAUUUUGCGACUGAUUAACGACGUAUUGGUUUUCCCGCGCAAAGUGCUCGCAAGUCUAUAGCAAUUUGCGAGGGAUUUACGCCAUCUCAAAUUUCCCUCGCAAAUCGCCUGUUUUCUUGUAGAUUGAGAGAGAUUUCAAAGAGAUAGAAGGAGACGGUAGAGAGGUUGAGAGAGAUUUCAAAGAGAUUGAGGGAGAGUUGAGAUGUGAGAGAAAUGAAAGGAAAAUUGAGAUUUGAGGGAAUAUUAAGAGAUAUUUAAGGGUUUUGUUUUGAAAAAAAUAAGCGUAAAACUGAUUUGGAAAAAAGAAACAAUUGCCGCAUAAUUUUUUCGUUUUGAAGGGUAAAGUUUGGUGCCCGAUGCUUUUCUAACGGUGAAACUUUUACCCUCCCAAAUCCGUCGAAAAUAUAAAAUAUUUUUCUUAUACAUGUAUAAAGUCAUCAUCUCAUUUCCAAAUGAGUGAACUCAGCGUUACAAACACGCUCUUGAGAUACUUAUAACAUCGAUCAUUUCCUUUUCGUGACUAGUUUCCAUGUCCUUGGAGUGAGAUUUAUGUGAAUCUGCAUUGAGAAUAGAUUUGAUAUAAUCUUGCUUGGUUUGACUUGAGUACUAGCUCACAAAACUUCAACUUAAGGCAAAUUUUCUAAGUUUAUGAUAGUUAUGUGUGUGUAUUGAUGCACAAAAAUGCAUUGAUGUGCAUUCUUCUAGGAGCUUAUUAAAGUCUGACUUAUAACAUGUUACAGAGUGGAUGGUUCAGAUAAAGAAUCAAAGAUCUCAGAUAAUGAUUAUGGCGGGACGUUUCUGCUUGUGACGAGUUCUCCACUUAGAUUUGAUCGAUAACUCUAACCACACAAUAAUAGUGCUGAAUUGAGAUAGAAAUUUAAUGAAGCUUUUGAUCAAUAAUGGUGACGACGAGAGGCUCCAUCUAAGUCGACGAAGAAGACAAUAUAUAUUAGAGUUCAUGAACUCAACUUGGGUUUAGUAGUUUCAACCUAUAGAGGAAAAAUAAAAACAGAUCAAAGAUAAUCAAAAAAAAACCAAAAAUCGUUGGAGAGAGAUUUGUUUACCCCUUCACGUGGAUGCUAUUAUUAAAAGACGGCUACGUCUAUGAAUUUGAUGAGCUAACAACUGAAGGCGACGAACAGAUCACGACUAUGACUUUUUUGAUGAGCUAAGAACGGAAGAAGGCGACUAUAGCUUGUUCAAUAUAUAAUUUUGAGAAGAUGUGGGGAUGCUAAAUUCUAUUUUUAUUUUUAUUAUUAUCCACAAAUUUUAUUUGAGUAAAUCCUAUUAAACUUAUUUUCCUAAAUUUAAGCAAUACUCGUUUGAUUGUUAUUUUAUUUAAUUUAAUAAAAGCUUAAGUUGUUGUAAUUUUUUUUUUCUUUGAAUAUCUAUUUAACUUGAAUUUUACUUAACUAUUUUGUUCUCUCACUUCCACUCUCUCAAUUAUUUUGCAAUUCUUCUUACUUCUCUCUACAAUUUCUGAAAACAUCUAAGAUUUUUUUUUAUAUGUUUAUGUUAGAUUUUGGGGUAUGGAAUGUAUCUCUUAGCUUAGGUGGUUCUGACGAGGUGUAUCCUGUUGUAUUUUGAACAUUAAAAUUUUGUACAUGUUACGUUGGUUAUUUAUAGAUGUGCGAAAACAUAUUGCGAGGGAUUUGCGAGGAACUUGCGAGGAACAUCGCUAUUUUGUUACGAAUUUGCGAGAGAAGUUCAACUACCAACCAAAGCAGGAAGAUUAUUUAAAAUGUGCUGACCUAACCUGCCAAGGAGUCGCAACUCCGACGCAAAAUUUGCUACAAAAAGUUUGUACGCCGUAAAUUUACCGCAGUUUGCGAGGCUUUAUCGUACAGCAAAUCCCUCGCAAUUUGCGAUGACUUUGCGAGGAAUUCUUCCGUCGUUGCAAUUUUCUCGCAAUUGCCACGCAAUAUUGCGUGGGAAUUCUCCCUCGCAAAUUUUGCGACUGAUUAACGACGUAUUGGUUUUCCCGCGCAAAGUGCUCGCAAGUCUAUAGCAAUUUGCGAGAGAUUUACGCCAUCUCAAAUUUCCCUCGCAAAUCGAUGUUUUCUUGUAGAUUGAGAGAGAUUUCAAAGAGAUAGAAGGAGACGGUAGAGAGGUUGAGAGAGAUUUCAAAGAGAUUGAGGGAGAGUUGAGGUGUGAGAGAAAUGAAAGGAAAAUUGAGAUUUGAGGGAAUAUUAAGAGAUAUUUAAGGGUUUUGUUUUGAAAAAAAUAAGCGUAAAACUGAUUUGGAAAAAAGAAACAAUUGCCGCAUAAUGUUUUCGUUUUGGAGGGUAAAGUUUGGUGCCCGAUGCUUUUCCAACGGUGAAACUUUUACCCUCGCAAAUCCGUCGGAAAUAUAAAAUAUUUUUCUUAUACAUGUAUAAAGUCCUCAUCUCAUUUCCAAAUGAGUGAACUCGGCGUUACAAACACGCUCUUGAGAUACUUAUAACAUCAAUCAUUUCCUUUUCGUGACUAGUUUCCAUGUCCUUGGAGUGAAAUUUCUGUGAAUCUGCAUUGAGAAUUAGAUUUGAUAUAAUCUUACUUUGUUUGACUUGAGUACUAGCUCACAAAACUUCAACUUAAGGCAAAUUUUCUAAGUUUAUGAUAGUUAUGUGUGUGUAUUGAUGCACAAAAAUACAUUGAUGUGCAUUCUUCUAGGAGCUUAUUCAAGUCUGACUUAUAACAUGUUACAGAGUGGAUGGUUCAGAUAAAGAAUCAAAGAUCUCAGAUAAUGAUUAUGGCGGGACGUUUCUGCUUGUGACGAGUUCUCCACUUAGAUUUGAUCGAUAACUCUAACCACACAAUAAUAGUGCUGAAUUGAGAUAGAAAUUUAAUGAAGCUUUUGAUCAAUAAUGGUGACGACGAGAGGCUCCAUCUAAGUCGACGAAGAAGACAAUAUAUAUUAGAGUUCAUGAACUCAACUUGGGUUUAGUAGUUUCAACCUAUAGAGGAAAAAUAAAAACAGAUCAAAGAUAAUCAAAAAAAAACCAAAAAUCGUUGGAGAGAGAUUUGUUUACCCCUUCACGUGGAUGCUAUUAUUAAAAGACGGCUACGUCUAUGAAUUUGAUGAGCUAACAACUGAAGGCGACGAACAGAUCACGACUAUGACUUUUUUGAUGAGCUAAGAACGGAAGAAGGCGACUAUAGCUUGUUCAAUAUAUAAUUUUGAGAAGAUGUGGGGAUGCUAAAUUCUAUUUUUAUUUUUAUUAUUAUCCACAAAUUUUAUUUGAGUAAAUCCUAUUAAACUUAUUUUCCUAAAUUUAAGCAAUACUCGUUUGAUUGUUAUUUUAUUUAAUUUAAUAAAAGCUUAAGUUGUUGUAAUUUUUUUUUCCUUUGAAUAUCUAUUUAACUUGAAUUUUAU
RNAcentral lists this small RNA (7096 nucleotides) under Arabidopsis thaliana (thale cress). RNAcentral's name for it is "ATSL193600". The record is from RNAcentral. Lineage: Eukaryota; Viridiplantae; Streptophyta; Magnoliopsida; Brassicales; Brassicaceae.